GGACUUCGGUUCUAGCGGCGGACGGGUGAGUAACGCGUGGGAAUGUGCCCUUCUCUACGGAAUAGCCCUGGGAAACUGGGAGUAAUACCGUAUACGCCCUAUUGGGGAAAGAUUUAUCGGAGAAGGAUCAGCCCGCGUUGGAUUAGGUAGUUGGUGGGGUAAUGGCCUACCAAGCCGACGAUCCAUAGCUGGUUUGAGAGGAUGAUCAGCCACACUGGGACUGAGACACGGCCCAGACUCCUACGGGAGGCAGCAGUGGGGAAUCUUAGACAAUGGGGGCAACCCUGAUCUAGCCAUGCCGCGUGAGUGAUGAAGGCCUUAGGGUUGUAAAGCUCUUUCAGCUGGGAAGAUAAUGACGGUACCAGCAGAAGAAGCCCCGGCUAACUCCGUGCCAGCAGCCGCGGUAAUACGGAGGGGGCUAGCGUUGUUCGGAAUUACUGGGCGUAAAGCGCACGUAGGCGGACCGGAAAGUCAGAGGUGAAAUCCCAGGGCUCAACCUUGGAACUGCCUUUGAAACUAUCGGUCUGGAGUUCGAGAGAGGUGAGUGGAAUUCCGAGUGUAGAGGUGAAAUUCGUAGAUAUUCGGAGGAACACCAGUGGCGAAGGCGGCUCACUGGCUCGAUACUGACGCUGAGGUGCGAAAGCGUGGGGAGC
Molecule: ribosomal RNA, 653 nt
Filed under: uncultured Rhodobacterales bacterium
Lineage: Bacteria; Pseudomonadati; Pseudomonadota; Alphaproteobacteria; Rhodobacterales
Description: bacterial SSU rRNA
Rfam family: Bacterial small subunit ribosomal RNA
Source: RNAcentral